RNAcentral lists this long non-coding RNA (693 nucleotides) under Phoenix dactylifera (date palm). RNAcentral describes it as "long non-coding RNA (PDAC_LNC015804)". The record is from RNAcentral. Lineage: Eukaryota; Viridiplantae; Streptophyta; Magnoliopsida; Arecales; Arecaceae.
UCAAGUGAUUGAAACUUCAUUUAGUUUUUCACAACCUUCUUAUAUAUUUUUAUUUAUUUAUCAUUCAUUCUCCAAUUUUUUUUUAAUUUCUUUCUUUAACCACUCAAUGAACAUUUUGAUUAUCUUCAUUUGUUUUUCGGUUUUACUUUUCUAUGCUCUAUAUUCUAUUUGCUCCCUAUCCGGUGGAGUUGGAAGGGGCACGAGGUACUACCACUAGCCUCCCUCUUGUGCCGUCCCUAAUAUACUCUACACCAAAUAGUUGGGUCAAAUAAUGCCGGGUACUACCACUAGCCUCCCUAUUGGCACCAUCCCUAUGAUGAGCAAUGUAGAAAGUGUGGAGUGAUUGAUUAAAACCCCAUGUGAUUUUGAUGAGCUCAAAGCAUUUGAGUAUAUCUUGUGAUUACUAAUGAAUUCAAUUGAGUGUUUCAGUGAAAAACCUGUCCAAGUGUCUCUAGACUUGGUUCAUAGUAUAUUGGUUAAGUUAAGAAGUCUGCUGAACCAAAGUCUGAGACUCGAGUCGACUCCAGAUUAGUACGAGUCGACUCCGACUGAGAACAGAAAGAAGAACAGAAAGCCUCAUCUCAGAACCUGUCAACGAGUCGACUCCUGAAGUGCGCGAGUCGACUCCAAUGUUCACCGAGUCGACUCCAGGGAAGUAAGAGUCGACUCCAAGCAGUCACAGGCAGAAAAGUC